This 491-nucleotide ribosomal RNA is filed under the name uncultured bacterium. RNAcentral's name for it is "partial 16S ribosomal RNA". It matches the Rfam family "Bacterial small subunit ribosomal RNA", at positions 29 to 507 of the family's 1533-position model. The record is from RNAcentral.
AGUGAACGCUGGCGGUAGGCCUAACACAUGCAAGUCGAACGGCAGCACAGUAAGAGCUUGCUCUUACGGGUGGCGAGUGGCGGACGGGUGAGGAAUACAUCGGAAUCUACUUUUUCGUGGGGGAUAACGUAGGGAAACUUACGCUAAUACCCAUACGACCUACGGGUGAAAGCAGGGGAUCUUCGGUCCUUGCGCGAUUGAAUGAGCCGAUGUCGGAUUAGCUAGUUGGCGGGGUAAAGGCCCACCAAGGCGACGAUCCGUAGCUGGUCUGAGAGGAUGAUCAGCCACACUGGAACUGAGACACGGUCCAGACUCCUACGGGAGGCAGCAGUGGGGAAUAUUGGACAAUGGGCGCAAGCCUGAUCCAGCCAUACCGCGUGGGUGAAGAAGGCCUUCGGGUUGUAAAGCCCUUUUGUUGGGAAAGAAAAGCAGCAGGUUAAUACCCCGCUGUUCUGACGGUACCCAAAGAAUAAGCACCGGCUAACUUCGUG